GUGGGGAAUAUUGGACAAUGGGGGAAACCCUGAUCCAGCAAUGCCGCGUGAGUGAUGAAGGUCUUAGGAUUGUAAAAUUCUUUCACCGGGGACGAUAAUGACGGUACCCGGAGAAGAAGCCCCGGCUAACUUCGUGACAGCAGCCGCGGUAAUACGAAGGGGGCUAGCGUUGCUCGGAAUUACUGGGCGUAAAGGGCGCGUAGGCGGACAGGUUAGUCAGAGGUGAAAGCCCAGGGCUCAACCUUGGAAUUGCCUUUGAUACUGGCUGUCUUGAGUACGGGAGAGGUGAGUGGAACUCCGAGUGUAGAGGUGAAAUUCGUAGAUAUUCGGAAGAACACCAGUGGCGAAGGCGACUCACUGGCCCGUUACUGACGCUGAGGCGCGAAAGCGUGGGGAGCAAACAGGAUUAGAUACCCUAGUAGUCC
This 425-nucleotide ribosomal RNA is filed under the name uncultured bacterium. RNAcentral's name for it is "partial 16S ribosomal RNA". It matches the Rfam family "Bacterial small subunit ribosomal RNA", at positions 354 to 796 of the family's 1533-position model. The record is from RNAcentral.